RNAcentral lists this transfer RNA (88 nucleotides) under Desulfurococcaceae archaeon. RNAcentral describes it as "tRNA-Leu". It matches the Rfam family "tRNA". Rfam says of the family: Transfer RNA (tRNA) molecules are approximately 80 nucleotides in length. Lineage: Archaea; Thermoproteati; Thermoproteota; Thermoprotei; Desulfurococcales; Desulfurococcaceae. The record is from RNAcentral. RNAcentral also lists the same sequence under 1 other name.
GCGGGGGUGCCCGAGCUAGGUCAAAGGGGUCGGGCUUAGGCCCCGAUGGUGUAGACCUGCGUGGGUUCGAAUCCCACCCCCCGCACCA